UACGUAGGUGGCAAGCGUUGUCCGGAAGUACUGGGCGUAAAGAGCGCGCAGGCGGUCGUUCAAGUCGCGUGUGAAAGCCCCCGGCUCAACUGGGGAGGGUCACGCGAUACUGAUCGACUCGAAGGCAGGAGAGGGAAGUGGAAUUCCCGGUGUAGUGGUGAAAUGCGUAGAUAUCGGGAGGAACACCAGUGGCGAAGGCGACUUCCUGGCCUGUUCUUGACGCUGAGGCGCGAAAGCUAGGGGAGCAAACGGG
This 253-nucleotide ribosomal RNA is filed under the name uncultured bacterium. RNAcentral describes it as "partial 16S ribosomal RNA". It matches the Rfam family "Bacterial small subunit ribosomal RNA", at positions 524 to 776 of the family's 1533-position model. The record is from RNAcentral.